RNAcentral lists this long non-coding RNA (4129 nucleotides) under Gallus gallus (chicken). RNAcentral describes it as "lncRNA (ENSGALG00010026620.1)". Lineage: Eukaryota; Metazoa; Chordata; Aves; Galliformes; Phasianidae. The record is from RNAcentral.
GUCCCCCUGUUGACUAGAGAGAUGUUGUUCUUGGGAUUAGAGAUGUCUGACCUUGAAGGUCACAGGUCACCAUCCUUGAAUAAGGAGCAGGAGCGCAAGGUUAGGAUUGAAACUUGAGGUGCGUCUGUUGGAGAUCACAGGGAAAAGCCUUCCAAACAAAGAGGAAUGCCUCGGUCAGGGUGAGAAAGGACAAAUUCCCCAAGAAUUAUGAGCUCCUUCCGGAUGAUCGCAUACCUGCAGACCCCCAAAGGAUGCACUGUGGCUGAAAGAGGGGAGAAAGGAGAGGGAGGAUGGCUGGAGCCAGCAGACCAUGUUAUUUAUCAUUAUUCGCAUUCUGGGCAGGCCCAGAGGCCCUGAUGCUGGCAGUUUUAUGGAGAUAGCAACAGAAAGGACAUCCCGUCAUCACAGCAGCCUGGAGGUGGAGCGCUGGAAGAAAGGAGGCUGCCCAGAAGUAUCUUUGCAGGAAGGGAAGAAGAGAUUCCCUCAAGGGCAAGGAAGUAACAGAGGCUACAAGAGGAAAUUGCACUUCUAAUCUGUGUCUAACAUAACUGUGACAGCUUCCCACUGUGAGAUCCUGAAGAGCUCUGGGGUGUAGGUUCCAGCUGCAUGCCUCAGUUUCCCCACAGAAAUAACUAUAGAGGGGCAAAGAGUACCUCAAGCCUUAUUUCAGGGUUUCAAGGACUGAAGUGAGUAAAGAAACCUCAUUUCUCUAACGUGAUUCUCAUCUAAGUGAGGAAAGAAACGUAUUCACUAGCUCAGGUACACCUGGCUCGUGCCCAUGCACCCUGCAGGCAGGAGUCUGUGCUUUCUGCCCCUGGGUACCUAUGCAUGAGCAGUACCUCUGCUUUCCAGGGAAGAAGGUUGCAUUGGUGGUGUGAGCAUGAUCACAGCAUAGCUUUGUGACAGAUCCCCUCAGCUCUUACGCUCAGAGUUCAAGUCUAGGCUCUAAGGUAUGCAGGUGAAAUCCACUGGGGCUGAGAGGAUUGAAGGAUGCAGAAAAGUGUUUGAGGAUCUGAGAACUUCCACACAACCUCAGCCCACUGCGCUGAAGCCCCACAGUUUAACCUGACUCCACUCCAGACCCUUCUCUGGUGUCAAUAUCAUCUAAAGGACCUGAAGGUCUGAACGACCUCACUGUAUUUUGGCACAUUUUGAAGAUGGCAGCCAAGACCUCUUUGUGCCAUUCAUGCAAACAAUGCACAGAGAGAUGUGCAGGAAAACUGCAGAGGCCAAGGCUAGCUGUGAUGCUUAAACUCGAGGGCAUUUUCCCUUUAGGGAAGGGAAGGAUGGGGCCAGGAGCAGUCCCCCACCCAUGGAACAGCCCCAAGCAACGCUAGAGGGAGCCCCGGGCUCAAUUAAUUAACGGGCUAAAAUUAGCCGAGGGGGAGAAACAUUGAAGCCGGGUGGGAAAGUGAGAACGGUGUUAGUUGUGUUUUCAAGGGGUUUUCAAGCUGCAUUUCUGUCAAGUUACACCAAAAAGCGACAUGCAUGGCAGCGAGGCAACACUAGUGCAAAAUGCAGCAUGGAAAUGGCUCUAUGCUCUGAGUGCAGUGGGAGGAGGUCUCAGGCACAAGACUAUGGCAGAGGGUUCCAGAGGCUGAGAUCAGCUCUUGGGUGCUGGCUGCAUGGCUACAGAGGGGUCUCCUAUUUUAGGGAUGCUUGCAGGGUGCUGCCUGCAUGCAGAAGGGUCUGCAGAUCCACCCAGGGAUGUCACAGUCUUAGUUUGCUCUUCUGCAUUCUUUCCUACAUGGUGCAGAGCUUUGCUGGAUGUCCAAAGCCAUCCUGAAGGCAAUGGGGGGUUUUCCACUUGUUUCCUUUGGUGCAGACCUUACUAGAGCUCCUGUGGGUGGGGGAAGGGGAAGGCAGGCUCCCAACAGGACCCCAUGGCAUAGUGGAUGGGAUGGAACAAUGUGGGUGAUCAACUCAGGCUUGAGUGUUAGCAAAACUGAACCAAAAAGGGAGCUCAGCAGAAGCCAGAACAUAAAAGCUGCCAUUGGGCUCAUUUGUUAUCAUUUUAAUCUUAUUAACAUCCCAUCCAGUGGCUCUUUGGAGAAUAAAACAUUGAUAUUAUAUAUUUCUCUUGGCAGAAACCAACCAACCUUAGAAAAGAUGAAGUACUCAGUAAAGGAAAAAAAAAAAGGAAUCAAGUUUUAUAUUGUCUUUUUAAUUAACCGAUCUAAUAUUGCCUGAGUAUGCAGGAGAACAAGGAAGUAGCAGAGAUUAUGUUAAGGGUUUGCUGUAUCCCAUGUUCUAAGUGUAAAUAAUGUUCUUGUUAAUUUAAAACCAAGGCUGACUGUCUUUAUGACUUCAUUGCACUCACAUUAGCUCUACCUUUAGGCAGUGUCAUGGGUGCAAAUAGAUUGGGUUGAAAACUUCCCUAGAGCCACUUUAAAGUGACAUCUAAUCUUUCCCUUUAGUGGUGUUAAUUCAACUUCACAAGAGCAUUUGAAGCACCAUUAGGCAGAGAAAUGGACCUUCUCUCCUGCUGGUGCCCUUAUCCAAAUCACAACCCCCAAAAAUCUGUUUCAUAUCAGGCCAACUCUCCAGGGCUCUAGAGAGCAGCUGAAGGAGACGUGGGUUUCCUCUUUAUGAGAGUUAAAUACAUAAAGGAUUUAUGUUUUGCAUUUCUUACUGCCUGGUGGAAGUCUCCAAGCAUCUUGGGAACCUCCUGGCUCUCACAAUGCAGUGGGAAUGGGGACAGAGAAAGACUUGAGGACGGAACCAUGGAGACAGAGGAUUCCUCACAAACCAGAAUGCCUGCCAGGGUAUGGUGGCCUGCUGUUGGGAUGGAUUUUAACCAAGGAAAAGCGGAAAAUGAAGUGCUGGGAAGGAAACCCCAUGAGUUUUGUGGAUGGGACAGACCUCUGUCACCUUCUGCCUUGGCCAUCUCUUGGUUCUGGCCAGUUUAGUCCUCAGUGGAUGGUACGGUCACACACAUUUUUGGUGGAGAAAGGAUUAUAUUAGAGGACAGGAGAGGCAAAGCAUCCCCGAGGUCUGGCAGGUGCAGGAGUUAAGGGCAAGGAGGGAAGGACUGCAAGGCUGUGGGAUGCAACUUUCUCCUCUCAUCCAGGAGGGGGCAAUCCGUGGCUGGAACUGAAGUGAAAGGAGCGCCGGAUAAAGAGAUUUUUCUUUUCACUGCUCCUUCCAGGGAAAAGCUCAAAUUACUGUGAUGGAGGAAGGCUGUAAAAUGAAAACACAGAUGGAGGAACUUAAAGGGACUGUGGGUUUGGGGUAGCCCGUUUUUCUUUACAUUGUGGCAUUAAUUCUUACAAACUAUCUCUCCCAAUUAAAAGGAAAAAAGAGAGUUAAACUGGAUUUUCUUUUGAAUCACCUGGAACUUUAUGCUGACUGAUGCAUAUCCAUCAGCAUAUCCCAUCAUUUAUUUUCAUUAAGCUUGUGUAUUUAACUCAUCUUCUUUGGCCUUCCUUCCUUCCAAAGCCCCAGACAGAAGAUGCAGCUGCAUGUCGGGUACAACAAGCAGAUUUAUACAUGCAGCCAUUCUCUCAGCCUAACGUGUCUUUGAUUUCUGCCACACACACUUUUAUUUAUACAGUGCAUUCUCAUAUAGCAAACAGUUGACUCCUUGACCUUUGGAGAUGGGCUGGUGAACAACACACGGGCAAAGGUUUGUUCCAAGGUAUAUCUUAUAUCAUUGGGUGAGAUAGACCAAAUAGUUCAGCCUCUUCUCUGCCUUAGUUUCCUCAUCUGAAAGCAAAAAAACCAAGAAAUAAUGAAACUGCAAUGUUCUGCAGAGUUGCACAUUCACAAACCGCAAAUUAAAAAGACGGGGAAAGAGUUUCAAGAUGCUUCUGAGUAAAAAAUCACCCACUGGAGGAGAACUGUUGGACAUCUCAGGGGCUUCCCAGCUGCAUUCUGGGGGAAGGUAUAGAAAACCUAAUGUACAGUGCUGGAACAGGAGUGGGCAUCCCACUGGGCCACUUCGUCCUGGUGAGGGCUUAUGGCCAGGAAAGCAGUGAGAGCUCAGAGAAAGAAUACCUGGAAAAUAAAUGAACAAAACCGUGUUCUGUCUCUUGCUAACUGUUAACUACACAAAGAAAGAAUGAGGGGGGUGGGGGGGGUGGAAAAAGCAACACGAACCACUCAAGUCUGGGAGAAAUGGAAUGCGGAG